UGGGGAAUAUUGCACAAUGGGCGCAAGCCUGAUGCAGCCAUGCCGCGUGUAUGAAGAAGGCCUUCGGGUUGUAAAGUACUUUCAGCGGGGAGGAAGGUGUUGAGGUUAAUAACCUCAGCAAUUGACGUUACCCGCAGAAGAAGCACCGGCUAACUCCGUGCCAGCAGCCGCGGUAAUACGGAGGGUGCAAGAGUUAAUCGGAAUUACUGGGCGUAAAGCGCACGCAGGCGGUCUGUCAAGUCGGAUGUGAAAUCCCCGGGCUCAACCUGGGAACUGCAUUCGAAACUGGCAGGCUAGAGUCUUGUAGAGGGGGGUAGAAUUCCAGGUGUAGCGGUGAAAUGCGUAGAGAUCUGGAGGAAUACCGGUGGCGAAGGCGGCCCCCGGGACAAAGACUGACGCUCAGGUGCGAAAGCGUGGGGAGCAAACA
RNAcentral lists this ribosomal RNA (427 nucleotides) under uncultured bacterium. RNAcentral describes it as "partial 16S ribosomal RNA". It matches the Rfam family "Bacterial small subunit ribosomal RNA", at positions 355 to 774 of the family's 1533-position model. The record is from RNAcentral.